UUUCUCCAUCCUAGUAAUCAAAUUUGAGCAAAAUCAAAUGGGGCUUUCUAUGAAAGUACCUUUUGUUGAUCUGAACGAGCUGGUAAUUUACAAAAUACCCUUCCUUUGUGAGGAAGGCUAAAGAAAAAAAGAAUCAGUAGCUUUUAAAGCUGGGCCUUAGUGGGACUCUAAAUGCAAUGAAAGCAGUCUGUGUUGAGAGACUGAAAUGCAUUUCAAAGCCAGGCCUGAUUCGGGGUACAAGGAAGAACAGACCUAUGUGCAUUUUGUAGGAAGAAAACUGUGAAUGGAAAAAGGAGAAGGGGAGAGAAACGGGGGAAAUCUGGAUAAUACAUUAAAGUAACCAUAAUUUUGGAGAUGCAUUCAUCUUAUUGAAAAUAUAUUUCCUCAUGGUUGUGAUUCCUCUUCACUCUUUUGAAUUUGGAAGGAUGGCAUACACAUCUGAAAAAUACCACUACUUCCUUCAUUGGACUGCAAGGUAUUUCUGUUUGGAAAAGUAAUGGAGUCCAGUCAACUUCAUUGAUCGCCAAGGACUGUCAAAAUUAUAAAACUUGCUGUGGAGCUCUGACAUGCCAGAAGCCGCUAGAAAAAGAAGUUUGACAUUCAGAAACUUAUCAAGAGGUUCUACUCUUUGGAUAGAGACCAAAAUCAUACUUUGAAUGAUAUGCAAUGCAAGACUCCCAAGAUUCUGGGCAGUGGCAGGGAGGUGCAGCUUCUAGUCUGCCGCAUGAUCACAAUGUCAGCUGGUCCCUCUUCUCAGGUGUAGAUCACCUAUUAUAAUUUUACCUAAUUUUGAUACUCUGAUAAGGAAAGUCCCAGGACUUAUCAGCUGGGAUAGGCCUCACUUACAAGACAGCUCUGUUCAGUAUUUGGAAGAAAGCCUGACAGGUUUCUUCGGAAAAGUGGCCAUCCAUGGAAUGAAUGAAAUGUUCUCUUUCUAUUCCAAUCCAACUUAGAAAUAAUGUUUCAUUCAAGAUAAGGCUCGUGGCUUAGGAGAUUGUGACCUGGCUUGCAUCAUUCUAAGACUUCUAUCGUCUGUUUUCAAAACCCAAGGAGGACCUCCUUUUCUGUGUGAUAGUUCCUCAUGCUUUGCCAGCCACUGGGUCUUUAAGGAAGCUUGCCAAGAGUUCCCGGCUGGGAAGGACAGUUCGAGUUCAUCAUAGACAAUGAGCUGGCACCACAGUUUAAGUGACUCACCAACCUGGUUGCCCACUUCAAAAUGUCAAGAACCACACUAUCUAAUUGAAAGAACUGUGUUUUAGCAAAGUGUAAUUGGAUCGCCUGGCAAGAUCAUCUCAAACUAUGUCUCUGACCUUGCCUUUCAGUGGCUAUUUUGAGCACAAGAGGAGAAAGGAAAUGAUUCCUGAAUUAUAUCUUGUUUUUAAAAAUUAAGAUUAAUUAAUACUUGGUUUUAUGUUCAUUCCAUUGUAGGAACUUAGUGAUUAUUACAAAACAGUCAAAAUAGGUCAUAGCAAAAUGAACGUUUAAGAUUAGGUUAAAACAUUCCUCUGAAAUUUUAGUAUUCACUUUUGAAGUGUCAAUUACUAUAUUUCUGUAAUUUCUCAUUUUUUUCUUGGCUUAGAGUCAAGAUGAAAAAUGAUAUUUGAAUCAAAGACAUUGUUUUGUUAUAUAGCCACUCCUUUCUAAAAUGCAAAUCCACCCUCCCCUCACCAAUGCUUUAUUCUUUGUGCGCGCACACACACACACACACACACACACACACACACACACACACAGACAUACACAGAACCAGCACCCAAAUGGUAGAGGAGGUCCUUCCAAGACUUCUAGGACCUGGAUCAUGUAAGCAGUAGAUGAGAAAAUGAAGUAAGAGAUAUAGAGUAAUAACAAUAAAAGUCAAUGAUUUCAUUUUACAAAAAAGUCAUUGUGUAGUACUCAGAUAUUUUUAAGAGCAAGUAUUAUUAUGACUAAAGUAUAUUAUACUUCUAAAUUAUUAUGAUUCUCAUCUAAUUUCAAGCCACACAUAGGCGCCAUUUGAAAGCAUUUUGUGUUACAACCUAUCAACAAAAAUCAACUAAUAGUUUUAUAACGUGCAUAGGUUUACCCCAUGGGGAAUUAAAAUUUUUAUCUGCAAGUAUUUCUGUUGUUGUGAGACUUUAGGACAAGACAACAUUUGGUGUUAACAUAGAAGAAUAUUCUAUGGCUUUUUUAGCUUUAAAGUUCAUUACUCUAAAAUAAAGUACACGUGGUAUUUUUUUCUUCCUAGUGUUCUCUUAUUAUAUGUAGAGUAUUUUCGGUUGUUGUUUUUAACGUAUACAUUAUUUUUAUUAAGUCAUUUCAUAAAAGAUAAGAUAUAUACUAAUAGACCCUUGGUUUUCUCCUAAUUUAAUUAUUUCAAGUCAAGCAAAAUUGGGCAAUUUUCUUUCAGGAAAAAAAAAAUAUUGAGCAUGAUUUUGAGGUAAAACUGAUUAUUUACAGCAUCUUUUCUCUAAUAGGCUAACAUUUAUGAUGGAUCUUAUUUCAAAGUUGAUUAUUCUCAAAGAAAAGUGGAGAUAUUAGAAUUUCCGAGUAAAUUGCAUUGUUUUAAAAAGUACUUUAAUGCAUUGUUCACAUUGUUGCCAGCUAUUGACCAAAAAAGAGAAGAAGAAAAAAGAAAUAAAAAAAGCAGUAUCUGCUCCAAACGUCAAGUUUUGCAGUUUGAAAGACUUGUACAUUAUAAUUGUUUUUUUCUUUUUUGGAAAGCAGUAGUAAUUAAUACCAAAGGCAUAGACAAUUUAGGGCCAUAACCUCCCUUCCCCCCUCUCCACCUUUUUUUUUUUUUUUUUUUUUUUUUAACUUUAACCAUGAUAGGCAUCUCUGCAAGGUAGGUUUUAACAUAUUUUUUUCCUAAUUUUUUUCCCUCCAUUCAGUAAGAAGGAUAAGCUUUUAGAGUACCCAGUCACCGUGGUAACUGCCAAAAAAAUUCUCCUGAAGUUUGAAGAGGUCAGCUAGCAGGGUCAACAACCCUGGCCUCUCUCUGAGCUCGGUCUAGCAUGCCCCAGCCUGCGGUUGGAGUGUCAGGCCAGAUCUGACCCUGGGAGGUGGACCAUUCUGGCUCUGAUAUAAAUUUUUCGAGUCAGUUCAUGGCCUGGACUCUCCAGGUGGCCUCCAAAAUCGAUUUUGACCCCCUGACCCUGUCUCACGGAGGCAUAGCAUCCACCCUAAGUAAGGAUUUAGCCAGGAAUGACAGCUUUCCACUGAGUGUUAUUGGGGACAGUAUAAACAGUUUGGAAAGCAAGUAAGGAGGUGUGAGGGCUAGCAAUCAUUAAAAGCACAUUAAAAAACAAUUUUUAAAAAUCUUUAUUAGAGAAAGUUGUAAAUGCAUAUCUGUUACAGAAUUCCUGUGAUUUGUAGAGUUUUCUAGUCAGUUUUGAAUAUAAAUAGGUCACAUAUCUUUAUCUUUUUGCAUACUUUGUUACAAAUAUGCAAAUAAGAUAGGCAUACUUGCUACAAAAUAGGUACAGCAGGAAUGUAAUAUGUUCAGAAAAGGCAAACUGGUUAUUAAAACACAUUAACAGGUAAGGAGUUUCUAAUAUUUUAAAUACUAAAAUUUUACAUGUGUAUUUUGAAGUUUUUAAAAUGGAAAAAUAAAGAACCUUUAAAAAACCCAACAGUGUGGAAUAAAGAUAAACUUGUUGCACUCAAGGUACAUUUCUACUUUGUAAAGCAAGAAGCCAAUACACUCAGUUGGAUAAAAAUGAGAGAAAAAUUGUAAAUAUAGAGAGUUACAGCUUAUAGAGCUGAAGAGGAAUAAAACAAAAAAAAGUGUCUCUGAAUAACUUUAUGUAUUUUCAACAGUUUAAGAUAUCAGAAACUUGGAAAAUAAAUAUGAUAUAUAUAUAAAUCAUCA
RNAcentral lists this long non-coding RNA (3847 nucleotides) under Homo sapiens (human). Its description in RNAcentral is "PREDICTED lncRNA (TCONS_00189008)". The stretch from base 623 to 857 matches the Rfam family "SOX2 overlapping transcript exon 1". The record is from RNAcentral. Lineage: Eukaryota; Metazoa; Chordata; Mammalia; Primates; Hominidae.